UACAGAGGUCCCAAGCGUUGUUCGGAUUCAUUGGGCGUAAAGGGUGCGUAGGCGGCGCGGGAAGUCGGGUGUGAAAUCUCGGAGCUUAACUCCGAAACUGCAUUCGAUACUGCCGUGCUUGAGGACUGGAGAGGAGACUGGAAUUUACGGUGUAGCGGUGAAAUGCGUAGAUAUCGUGAGGAAUACCAGAGGCGAAGGCGGCUCCCUGGACAAUUGCUGACGCUCAGGCACGAAAGCGUGGGGAGCAAAAGGG
RNAcentral lists this ribosomal RNA (253 nucleotides) under uncultured bacterium. Its description in RNAcentral is "partial 16S ribosomal RNA". It matches the Rfam family "Bacterial small subunit ribosomal RNA", at positions 524 to 776 of the family's 1533-position model. The record is from RNAcentral.